GAUGAACGCUGGCGGCGUGCCUAAUACAUGCAAGUCGAGCGAAUGGAUUAAGAGCUUGCUCUUAUGAAGUUAGCGGCGGACGGGUGAGUAACACGUGAGUAACCUGCCCAUAAGACUGGGAUAACUCCGGGAAACCGGGGCUAAUACCGGAUAACAUUUUGAACCGCAUGGUUCGAAAUCGAAAGGCGGCUUCGGCUGUCACUUAUGGAUGGACCCGCGUCGCAUUAGCUAGUUGGUGAGGUAACGGCUCACCAAGGCAACGAGGCGUAGCCGACCUUGGAGGGUGAUCGGCCACACUGGGACUGAGACACGGCCCAGACUCCUACGGGAGGCAGCAGUAGGGAAUCUUCCGCAAUGGACGAAAGUCUGACGGAGCAACGCCGCGUGAGUGAUGAAGGCUUUCGGGUCGUAAAACUCUGUUGUUAGGGAAGAACAAGUGCUAGUUGAAUAAGCUGGCACCUUGACGGUACCUAACCAGAAAGCCACGGCUAACUACGUGCCAGCCGCCGCAGUAA
RNAcentral lists this ribosomal RNA (515 nucleotides) under uncultured bacterium. RNAcentral describes it as "partial 16S ribosomal RNA". It matches the Rfam family "Bacterial small subunit ribosomal RNA", at positions 28 to 523 of the family's 1533-position model. The record is from RNAcentral.